UCCCUGGUGGCUCAGAUGGUAAAGCCUCUGCCUGCAAUGCGGGAGACCUGGGUUCAAUCCCUGGAUUGGGAA
Molecule: transfer RNA, 72 nt
Filed under: Bos taurus (domestic cattle)
Lineage: Eukaryota; Metazoa; Chordata; Mammalia; Artiodactyla; Bovidae
Also listed under: 3 other names
Rfam family: tRNA
About the family: Transfer RNA (tRNA) molecules are approximately 80 nucleotides in length. Their secondary structure includes four short double-helical elements and three loops (D, anti-codon, and T loops). Further hydrogen bonds mediate the characteristic L-shaped molecular structure. tRNAs have two regions of fundamental functional importance: the anti-codon, which is responsible for specific mRNA codon recognition, and the 3' end, to which the tRNAs corresponding amino acid is attached (by aminoacyl-tRNA synthetases). tRNAs cope with the degeneracy of the genetic code in two manners: having more than one tRNA (with a specific anti-codon) for a particular amino acid; and 'wobble' base-pairing, i.e. permitting non-standard base-pairing at the 3rd anti-codon position.
Source: Rfam by way of RNAcentral